UACCAGCACCCCGAGUGGUCGGGACGAUUAUUGGGCCUAAAGCAUCCGUAGCCGGUCAUGCAAGUCUUCCGUUAAAUCCAGCCGCUCAACGGUUGGGCUGCGGAGGAUACUACGUGGCUAGGAGGCGGGAGAGGCAAGCGGUACUCAGUGGGUAGGGGUAAAAUCCUUUGAUCCAUUGAAGACCACCAGUGGCGAAGGCGGCUUGCCAGAACGCGCUCGACGGUGAGGGAUGAAAGCUGGGGGAGCGAACCGG
RNAcentral lists this ribosomal RNA (253 nucleotides) under uncultured bacterium. RNAcentral's name for it is "partial 16S ribosomal RNA". It matches the Rfam family "Archaeal small subunit ribosomal RNA", at positions 474 to 727 of the family's 1478-position model. The record is from RNAcentral.